GACGAAGGAUGCAAGCGUUAUCCGGAUUCAUUGGGCUUAAAGGGAGCGUAGGCGGCCUUGUAAGUCAGUGGUGAAAUCUCGCAGCUUAACUGCGAAACUGCCAUUGAUACUGCAGGGCUUGAGUACAGAUGCUGUGGGCGGAAUAUGACAUGUAGUGGUGAAAUACAUAGAGAUGUCAUAGAACACCGAUUGCGAAGGCAGCUCACAAAACUGUAACUGACGCUGAGGCUCGAAAGUGUGGGGAUCAAACAGG
Molecule: ribosomal RNA, 253 nt
Filed under: uncultured bacterium
Lineage: Bacteria
Description: partial 16S ribosomal RNA
Rfam family: Bacterial small subunit ribosomal RNA
Source: RNAcentral